This 504-nucleotide ribosomal RNA is filed under the name uncultured bacterium. Its description in RNAcentral is "partial 16S ribosomal RNA". It matches the Rfam family "Bacterial small subunit ribosomal RNA", at positions 30 to 523 of the family's 1533-position model. The record is from RNAcentral.
AUUGAACGCUGGCGGCAGGCCUAACACAUGCAAGUCGAACGGUAGCACAGAGAGCUUGCUCUCGGGUGACGAGUGGCGGACGGGUGAGUAACGUCUGGGAAACUGCCCGAUGGAGGGGGAUAACUACUGGAAACGGUAGCUAAUACCGCAUAACGUCGCAAGACCAAAGUGGGGGACCUUCGGGCCUCACACCAUCGGAUGUGCCCAGAUGGGAUUAGCUAGUAGGUGGGGUAAUGGCUCACCUAGGCGACGAUCCCUAGCUGGUCUGAGAGGAUGACCCGCCACACUGGAACUGAGACACGGUCCAGACUCCUACGGGAGGCAGCAGUGGGGAAUAUUGCACAAUGGGCGCAAGCCUGAUGCAUCCAUGCCGCGUGUAUGAAGAAGGCCUUCGGGUUGUAAAGUACUUUCAGCGGGGAGGAAGGCGGUGAAGUUAAUAGCUUCACCGAUUGACGUUACCCGCAGAAGAAGCACCGGCUAACUCCGUGCCAGCAGCCGCCGCCG